This is a small nucleolar RNA of Nymphaea colorata (pocket water lily), 95 nucleotides long. RefSeq annotates it as small nucleolar RNA Z266. The transcript has a single exon. NCBI's taxonomy places the organism in Eukaryota, Viridiplantae, Streptophyta, Magnoliopsida, Nymphaeales, Nymphaeaceae. The record is from RefSeq and is a predicted model, not a curated record.
UUUGUGCAAGGAUGAUGAAUCUAUUAGAUGUGUGAAGGGAGUCUUUCCAUUAUGAACGGACUCAUGAGGCAUUUCAAGGUUCUGACUUGCUAUAU